UUGUUUGUUUGUUUUUUUAAUAAUACAGCUGUACUGUUCUCAAUUACUGCACUGCAAACAGUGCCACAAGGAUAUUACAGCUCAGCUCUGAGAAGCCACUGAAUGUAAAGAUUUCUGUCCGAUUUGGCUGUCUACAAAAGAUCCGUCUGUUAAAGAAGCCCAAGUAUGUUUGUUGAUACCUUUCCAAACAGUAGCAACCUGAAAGAAUGGAAGGAAAUCAAAAACCAGGACAUCCCACUUUGUUCUUUGUGAAUGGGAAGGAAUUGGGCCUGUGUUAUAUCUAACCGAGAUGCUGGAAAGCAAUUAACUAGUUGGUGAGAGUAGUUUGCUUCACUACUUCAGCUUAUUGCUGGAGGAUGAACUGUGACAAGUUUAUAAUUCUAAAUAUGUGGUCAGUUUGUAACAUCUAUAAAAUUUUGUUUUCACUUGAGAAUAAAGUUGUUAUACACAAUAAGUUCAGACUUGUGGGAUAGAGUUCGUUUUGCAUGAGUAUUUCUUAAAAUGAUUGUUGCUUAUGACUAAUAUUCAGUUAUUCAGCAAAGACAGAAAAAUCUCGUUGGGCUGAUUUUACCGUUUUUUUUUAACCUCUAUGUCAGUAGAGGUUACACAGAGGCUAGCACUAGUGAACCUUCAUGUAAUAGAUUUAGGAUUGAUGGAUUUGUUUGCUUACUUGUUUCUUCUGUUUAUAUACAACAGAGAAAAAUGUUUUAUUAACAUUACAGAUUUACAGUUACAAUGCAUCUACCUGCUCAAAAUUUAUUUCUUUAGGGCUGCUUAUGUGUUAUGAGCUACUCUUUAUUACACUGAUUCAUAUUAGUGGAUGUUUGUAUGUUUCUGAGUGUAUUGCUCAUUCCUUUUGUCCAGUGUUUAGACUGUAAGAUUUAUGAUCUUCUAGUGCUUUUUUGUGUUUCCAACACUCUUGUCCUACUAAGAUUCUUGUCAUUCAGUAGGAUCCCUAGACAGUACAGUAAUAUAAAUAAUAAUUGUAGUCAUAAAAUGCAUUAAACAUUUAAUCUAUAAUGUUAAAUUCAAUAUGAAUUUUUUUGAGUUUGCUUUUUUUUAUUUUACAUUUGUAUUUUGUUAUAAGUAUUGCUUAUUUGCCUUCAUGUGUACAUGAAAAGAAAUUCUUAAAAAAACCCCAGCAAAUCCAAAUAUACAGGAAUACAGAUACAGGAAGUUAUCUUAGUUCCUUCCUACAUGCUGAUGACCUUUGCCAUUGAUAGCAUAUUUAUAUGUUUGGUUCUGAAACAGCACAAUGAUUUAAGAAAUUAUGUUGUGUACUUUUUUUGCUCUCAUUCCUUCUCUUGGAAUUUAAUAACUGACCAUACAUACGCUAAAUCUAUUCCAUUGUGGAUUGAAACAGGUUCAUAAUCAUGCUGAUUGGUUUGGUAUAUAUUAGUCAAUGAGAAUUUUUGCAGUAAGCAUGAAUGUAUAUCCUUUAUUUCUGUGCUUUUAAAAUUGAAUGUAGGAGAGUAAGUGUAAGGACCAUUGGAAUAAUAGGCUUUUCUCACCUUUUGCUGAACUGUCUAGAGCUUACUCAUGCCGGUUUUCUUUCUCAGGAAAACACAUUGUAGGAAUAUGCUCUCAAGGUCAGAUGCAUACACCAUAUACAGUGAUGUAUGUAAUAUGAAGGUAUAAAAUCUGUUGAAGAGUCUGGAGAAACCUCUAGAAGAUGAGGAUGCAACCAAGGCAAUGGUUGGCUUGAUAUGAAGGAGUUUUAUCUGCCAAUGUGAUUACUGGAGGUCUUGUUGUUCUCUACUUGGACUGCCCCUUCAGGAUUUGUUUAACAGACAUACAUUAUUUUGUCAUGAAUUCAUGCUGGAUGGACAUUGGUUCCAGAACAUUCUGUUUCUUUCUAAUAAGAGGCAUCAUGUUAAUACAGGUGCUCUGCUGUACUACCUCUGUAGUAUAACAGUUUGGAUUUUCUCAGUGCAGUGCUGAUGUUACUUCCUCUUCAAAGUUUUGCUUGAGGGGUUUCCUUUUGGUCAAGUCAUACACAAAGGUUGAAAAAAAGGAAAUAAUGCCAUUCUUUACUGAUUUGAGUCUGAUGUUUUAUUUCUAGGAUACCUGUAAUUUGCUUUGCUGGCAUACAAAUCUACAAGGUAGGUUUUAACUUCUCUUCUGUAGCAAGUAGCUUACUACUGUUGUCUGUAGAUGACAAUUUGAUGCUGAAAGUAAGCUUUAAGCCUCUGCAAAUACUUCUGUCUGUUAUUGCUGAGAAAGAGUGGUGACUCCUCCUGACAGUAGGUGUAUGGAGUCCACAAGAACUAGGUAGGGCUAAUUUCAUGUGAUACAAUUUUUUUCUACCAACGUUGCCACUCUUUUGCCUAGGUCUCUUUUAUGCAGCUUUGCUUUGUUUUGAAAAUUAUCAUGCAGUGCAGACAUACAAGGCAAUAGUUUUGGCUGAUUGAAAGGAGUUGUAAAUGAGUUUUCUAAGCGUGUUGCUAGAACAGGGCACAACAAUGUCCAUUAAUCUCUUCAUUUAUGCAGUAUCUUCUCCAGCAAGUUCUCUACCACUGGUGCCAACUUCAUUUCUUAUUUUCUAACUGAUUUCCUCCCUGUCUCUGCUUAUGUACAGAGUGGUCUUCUACCCUGUUCAUGUAGGUCUCAAAAAAACCCUGCAUAUGCACAACAAAUGAAAACAGAAAAUGAAAUGCAAAGAAGUUAUCCCAUCUGAUUUUUUCAUCAAAUUUUGUCUUCUGUAUGUCACAUUUUUGAAUUUUAAGUUCUCAGAGGCAAAAAAAAAGUAAAUUUAAUUUUUGUUCAGACUUUUAGACCUGAAACAAUAGACAAAAAGUUUUCCAGUGGUAAAGCUUUUCCAAAAACAUUAGAUCAUUUAGGCCUAACACGAACAUGAUAAAAAAUACAAAGCUCAUUAAGUUCCUAAAAGUAGAACUGCAUAGAAGAUUACUCUGAAUGCCAGAGUAGAAAUACACAGGAUUAUAAUUUGUUUUUCCCCUGGUUUUCUCCUGUUGGUUUAACAGCUCAUGUAAGUUGCUGCUUAUCUGUGACAAAUUGGCCUUAAUUAACAUCUGCAGAACUGGACAGACUCUUCAAUGUGCAGACUGCCUCUCAGAACAACUAUAUAAAAAUUUGUCUCAGGACAUUUUUAAUCUUAAUACGAAAUUACCUUGAUAUUCUGUUAUAGUAUUUAAUGUUUUUGCAUCUUGAAGGUUUUCAGAUAACCACUAGUGGGUGGUAUAUAACAUGAAUGAUAGAACUUUAAGUAUAUCCAUCUGGAAGGUGUAGGAACAGCUGUUCAUGCAUAAGGCAAUAUGCUGUUAUAUCAUAUUAAUUAAUCAUUUUGAUGUCACAGGGUGUGCAAAGUGAUCACUGUUUACUGCAUAGCCGUAUGGCUAGCAAAUUAUUUGUGACAUCAUUGUCUAUUUAACUGGGGUGUUUUUAUUAAAGAACAGUAGCUAUGACUAACAACAUUUCCUUAUUUUAGUUUGAAGUCUCUCACUUGUUUAUUAUGGCACACACUCACUGACUGAAUAAUAAAGUAUGUGAACUACAUUUUACUACUGGAGACAGGUUCAAAGGGUAGUAGGGUCCCAUCCAAAUCACUUAAAUUAAGAAAAGAACGUGUUAUUGGACAAAAAUUCUCAUAUUGAUUUCAGUAAAAAGUAUCUGAUCUGGAGUCUUCAAAUUUUGUCUGGAGAACAUUUAGUUUUCAAAGUAGUGUGCAUUGGAACAGUACCCAUGUUUUCUCAUUAUUAGUAUUUAUCUGAGGAAUUUUAUGUUGAUGAUCUCAGAAUUCCCAACAUAUGUCAAGAUUCUCUUUGUUUAUGACAACAUAACAACAGUGUGCUACACAAGCAGACAAGACUGUUCUAAAUUCCAAAAUGCUUUUUCUUUCUGUGUACAUGUCAGUGCUCUGGAAUGGGUGCAUGCAUGCAUCAUCAGAUUAUCGUGUCAGUACUGAAGUUAAGUAUCUCUAGCAUGCUUGCAAUUGCAGAAAAUAUUUUUCCAGGAAUCACAAGAGGAAAUUCCCUAGAUGAGUGAUCCUUAUUUUCAGUAGUAGUAUUAUUUAGCUACUUAUCUGCAAUGAAGGGAAACAAGCCUUUUUUUCAAAGAUUGGAAUCCACAUUUGCCUGAGGAUGAAGUUAGGUGCAGAAAUGCAUGCCCAGCCCCAGUGGAAUGCACAUUACAGCAACACAUCAGGAAGAAAAAAAGAUACUUUAGGGCCAUCACUGACUUAAGAUUAUUUAUCCGUGUUCUAGAAUAGGAACGAUGUUGGUCUCUAGAAGUUGACACUGAUAAGGCUGUAAUGGCUGGGAAAUAUGCCUAAUUUGAGCAUAUAUUAUGAACAACUCUAAUUGUCCUAAAUGUUAUGAAUAAAACUGUCAUCAGGUGGUAAUCUCUGUUUACAAUUGCCCUGAUUAGAUUAGAUUAGUUAGUGGCAGGACUAACUCUCAGCUUCCAACCUACCAGCCUUAAAAUCAGUAAAACAUAAGAAACUCAUGUUUGAGUUCAU
Chiroxiphia lanceolata (lance-tailed manakin) is the source of this 4477-nucleotide long non-coding RNA. RefSeq lists it as uncharacterized. The record is from RefSeq and is a predicted model, not a curated record. Lineage: Eukaryota; Metazoa; Chordata; Aves; Passeriformes; Pipridae. The transcript has 4 exons.